This 126-nucleotide small RNA is filed under the name Pan troglodytes (chimpanzee). Its description in RNAcentral is "processed transcript". Lineage: Eukaryota; Metazoa; Chordata; Mammalia; Primates; Hominidae. The record is from RNAcentral.
CGCUUCGGCCUGUCCAUCGCUCAGCUCAUUGACGUGGUCGCCCGUCCACCAUAUCUUGCCCUGGCCGUGUCCUUGUGCCAGUGGCUGUGGAUGAGGAAACCUAGGGCCAGAGAAAGACACCAAGGG